UCCGAUAUGGUGUAGUGGCUAACAUUAUCGCCUCUCAUCUUUAUGUAAUACUUGGAAUUACGUAACGUUAGUACGCGAUAGCCGGGGUUCGAUUCCCCGUGUCGGAA
This 107-nucleotide transfer RNA is filed under the name Grifola frondosa (maitake). It matches the Rfam family "tRNA". Rfam says of the family: Transfer RNA (tRNA) molecules are approximately 80 nucleotides in length. The record is from Rfam by way of RNAcentral. Lineage: Eukaryota; Fungi; Basidiomycota; Agaricomycetes; Polyporales; Grifolaceae.